This 460-nucleotide ribosomal RNA is filed under the name uncultured bacterium. RNAcentral's name for it is "partial 16S ribosomal RNA". It matches the Rfam family "Bacterial small subunit ribosomal RNA", at positions 338 to 795 of the family's 1533-position model. The record is from RNAcentral.
CCUACGGGGGGCAGCAGUGAGGAAUAUUGGUCAAUGGACGAGAGACUGAACCAGCCAAGCAGCGUGAAGGAUGACGGCACUAUGGGUUGUAAACUUCUUUUAUAUGGGAAUAAAAUGUUCCACGUGUGGGAGUUUGUGUGUACCAUAUGAAUAAGGAUCGGCUAACUCCGUGCCAGCAGCCGCGGUAAUACGGAGGAUCCGAGCGUUAUCCGGAUUUAUUGGGUUUAAAGGGAGCGUAGGUGGAUUGUUAAGUCAGUUGUGAAAGUUUGGGGCUCAACCGUAAAAUUGCAGUUGAAACUGGCAGUCUUGAGUACAGUAGAGGUAGGCGGAAUUCGUGGUGUAGCGGUGAAAUGCUUAGAUAUCACGAAGAACUCCGAUUGCGAAGGCAGUUCACUGGACUGCAACUGACACUGAGGCUCGAAAGUGUGGGUAUCAAACAGGAUUAGAUACCCGUGUAGUC